GACGAACGCUGGCGGCGUGCUUAACACAUGCAAGUCGAACGCUGAAGCUCAGCUUUUGUUGGGCGGAUGAGUGGCGAACGGGUGAGUAACACGUGAGUAACCUGCCCCCUUCUUUGGGAUAACGCCCGGAAACGGGUGCUAAUACUGGAUAUUCACUGGUCUUCGCCUGGGGGCUGGUGGAAAGGGCGUUUCUGGUGGGGGAUGGCCUCGCGGCCUAUCAGCUUGUUGGUGGGGUGAUGGCGAACCAAGGCGUUGACGGGUAGCCGGGCUGAGAGGGCGACCGGGCACAGUGAGACGGUCCAGCCGCCCAGACUCCGACGCGGGGGAGCAUGUGGGACUAUGGCCCAAUGGGUGCCAGCGCGAUGCAGCGUCGCUGCGUGAGGUCUGGGGGCCGUCGGGUUGUGAACCUCUUUCGCUCAAGGUCUGGCCGCAACAAUGGUUGUGGUGACGGUACUGGGUAAAGAAGCGCCGGCUAACUACGUG
RNAcentral lists this ribosomal RNA (483 nucleotides) under uncultured bacterium. RNAcentral's name for it is "partial 16S ribosomal RNA". It matches the Rfam family "Bacterial small subunit ribosomal RNA", at positions 28 to 507 of the family's 1533-position model. The record is from RNAcentral.